RNAcentral lists this ribosomal RNA (492 nucleotides) under uncultured bacterium. Its description in RNAcentral is "partial 16S ribosomal RNA". It matches the Rfam family "Bacterial small subunit ribosomal RNA", at positions 29 to 507 of the family's 1533-position model. The record is from RNAcentral.
AGUGAACGCUGGCGGUAGGCCUAACACAUGCAAGUCGAACGGCAGCACAGUAAGAGCUUGCUCUUACGGGUGGCGAGUGGCGGACGGGUGAGGAAUACAUCGGAAUCUACUUUUUCGUGGGGGAUAACGUAGGGAAACUUACGCUAAUACCGCAUACGACCUACGGGUGAAAGCAGGGGAUCUUCGGACCUUGCGCGAUUGAAUGAGCCGAUGUCGGAUUAGCUAGUUGGCGGGGUAAAGGCCCACCAAGGCGACGAUCCGUAGCUGGUCUGAGAGGAUGAUCAGCCACACUGGAACUGAGACACGGUCCAGACUCCUACGGGAGGCAGCAGUGGGGAAUAUUGGACAAUGGGCGCAAGCCUGAUCCAGCCAUACCGCGUGGGUGAAGAAGGCCUUCGGGUUGUAAAGCCCUUUUGUUGGGAAAGAAAAGCAGCAGGUUAACACCCCGCUGUCCUGACGGUACCCAAAGAAUAAGCACCGGCUAACUUCGUG